Molecule: long non-coding RNA, 3244 nt
Organism: Hipposideros armiger (great roundleaf bat)
Lineage: Eukaryota; Metazoa; Chordata; Mammalia; Chiroptera; Hipposideridae
Exons: 2
Source: RefSeq, a predicted model, not a curated record
GUAGAGAAAAAUGGGUGGAUUUGAGAAAUAAGUAAGGAGUACAGUUGGCAGGGCUCAUGAUGGAUCAAUUUGGAUACAGGGGUGUGAUGUUUUUCUUUUGACACCAAAUUGUGUGGGGUUUUUUUCCCCACACCAGCCACCAAUUUCCCAACACCAACUGGGUGUCCCACAAUUCAAUUCUGAUACUAACUAUCCAGAGCAAGUGUCAGACUCCAUAGGUUGAAGGGCUCAGCACCAGUCUGCCUUCACUUCAGAUGCCAGUUGAAAGUCCUGGGUUCCCAGGCUACCCACACUUCUGUCUGAUGUGGCUAUAAAUUCAGGGGUUCCCAUGACCGCUCUCCGUGGGGGUCAAUAAUUUGCUAAAAUGAUGUGCAAAACUCAGGAAAGCACUUAACUAUUCCUGGUUUAUUAUAAAGGAUACAACUCAGGAACAUCCAAAUGGAAGAGCUGCAUAGGGCAAGGUAUGGGGGGAGGAGGUACAGGCAGGGGAGAAACAGAGCUUCCAUGAUCCCUCCAGGCCACUCUCCCAGCACCUAGAUGUGUUCAUGCAUCCACCCCAUCCUUAGGGAUUUGUAUGGAGGUUUUAUUAUGUGGGCAUGAUUAAGUCAUUGGCCGUUGCUGACUCAACUCAACCUCCAGCCCCUCUCCCCUUCCUGGGUGUGUGUGUGUGGGGGGACAGGGGGCUAAAAGUUCCAACCUUCUAAGCAUAGCUUGGUCUUUCUGGCAACUAGCCCCCAUCCUAAAGCUAUCUAGGCUCCCCUACCCCCAGUCAUCUGGGGACUCCAAGGGUUUUAAGAGCUCUGCACCAAGAACCUAGGAUAGAGACCAAAUAUUUUUUAUUAUACCACAUGGGGUGAGGGAGAAGUCAAGGUGGACUUCAGGACCAGCACCCCACCCUGGGCUCAGCCUCGGGCUGUUAUUGGCCCUCCCAGUGUCUACCUGGUGCCAGGGUCCCUGGAUGGGGGCCCAAGGUCUUUUCCUACUCCCUACUCCUUUCUCCAGGAGAUUGUGACUGCUUUGGAGGAAGGCAAGAACAUUGUGCCCGUCACUGAUGGCUUCGAGUGGCCGGAGCCCCAGGCCCUGCCUGAGGACAUGCAGGCUGUGCUCACCUUCAAUGGCAUCAAGUGGUCCCACGAGUACCAGGAGGCCACCAUUGAGAAGAUCAUCCGUUUCCUGAAGAGACGUUCCUCCCAGGACUCAUCUGUGGGCUCUGACACCAGUUUGGAGGGUGCUGUCCCCAUGGGUCCUACUUAACCAGUCCCUCGUUCCCAAGCCCUGCUGUGACCCUCAUUUCCAUUGUCUCCCCCUGUAACGGUGACCCUCUAUCUUCUAUUUGGACAUUUAAACCUCUGGUAUAAUUCGAUUUGACAGCGUUUUGGUUUGGGACUUUUUGGAAAGUUUUUCUUUGCUUCCCUCCCCGCCCACCAACCCUUAAUGACUCUGUUUGCUAUGCAUGUACUAUGCAUAUCCAUUUCAGUGGUUCUGUUUACCUUAGGCCCAGUGCAAAACGGGUGACUUGGGAGAGGUUUUUGCACCUGUCUGGGAUCCUCUCCUGUUCCUGGGGCAGACCAGCCUCUGGGAAGCGUUUUUUUUUUUUCCUGGAGCUGCCUGGCCAACUCCUCCUUUCCUUUGUCUUGUCUCCUUACCUGCCCUUUUUUCAGGAAUUGCCUAACCAACUCCUUAUUUCCUCCGUUCUGCCUCUCCUUGCGUGUCUAUAAUACCUUUGGCGGUAUUAAGAGCGGGAAGGCAGUCUUUGUGCCAAGGAGUCCACUGUCUUCCCUUCACACUGGCAUUUUGAAAUAAACCAACCUCACCUCUCGAGAGGGCAGCCGGACCUUUUGCAAGGUAACACCCUGAAGGAGCAACUUCUCACACUAGCCUCCCUGGGCUGAGAUAGCCUGGGUCCUUCUCAGGAAAAGGCUUUCCCUCUCCCACACCUUCAUGGGCCCCUCAAACCCAGCUUCCUCAAUAUCUGGAAAGGGAAGGGAAGCCAAGUAUUGCAGGUGGUAAGGGUUAGACUGCCUCCAAGCCCUGCCACCAGGUUCUCUGUCUCAGGAAGGUCACUGCUCCAUUCUAGAAAUAACUGAAGAUCUAGGGUUCGUUGCACUCUACCCGCUCUCUUGCUCUGGCAUUAGCCAGCUUGAGGAGGAGGAAGGCGGACAGCCUCUGACAGGAAUUAGGGCAAUGCCCAGCCCUCUCAGCCAAGCAAGGGCCUGGGCCAGCCAGGGAUGAGAGUCCAGUGAUCUCUCCACCUAGCCCCUGGGAUCACCACUUCCUGCCACCCUGUGGCCUUGUCCUAUAACCACUCAGUGCCCUUAGCUGGCCUGGCCUGGUCCCAAGUCCCCUCCCAGCAUUCCUGAGGUACAGCUUACUGGGGUCAGGGUUAGGCUGAGCCGGCCCUCACUCUAGCUGGUUUGCAGUUGUGGCCAGUUUUUUUUCUCCUUUUUUUUUUUUUUUUAACUAAGCCAUCCUUGCGAGUUGUGGCCAGUUUUGAAGCACUCACUGGUGCAUGGGAGCCCCCUGCUUGGGCCUGGGCCUGGGCCUGGGCAGGGGAGGUCGUGUCUCAAAGGGCAGCCACCCACCCUGCCCAUGCAUGCCUUAGUUCUGUGCCCCAGGCUCCUGCCUGGCCUGGCCCAGCUGGCUUCCCAAGCCCUUCACCCACCCAAGGCUGCCUACCCACUUCCCAUGAAGAGGCAGCCCCUGUGGUAGCAGCAGUAGCCUGGGCAGAACCUGCAGCUCCAGGGGAAGAGGGGAGGUCCUGAAGAAGGGCAAGGGGUGCAUUCGAAUCACCUGGGAACUCUGUGGAAAUUCCACUCAGGAGACCUGGGGCGGUGGCCUGAGUUUCUGCAUUUCUCAGAUUCCCAGGUGAGCUGAUGAUGCCGGUGGUCAAGGAACGACACUUUAAGUAGCAAGUCUCUGAAACACAAAUCCCUAGUAGAUCUUUGCCAUUUCCCUUGCACCCCACUCUAUAGUCUAGGCAAUCAUCGAGUAGCCUUACCCGGUAUUAUCUCCAUGUUACAGAGGAACCAAAUGAUGUGCCAUUUCCCAAGCGAGUGGCAGUCCAGGAUCCAGACCUGGCCUCCUGGUGCUCAGUCCACUGCUGGUGGGACUGCUCUCCUGAGAAUCAUCCCGGAGGCUAUGGCCAGGGCUGGGCUGCUGCUCCAGGCAGCUGGUUUCUCUCCUGCCCUGAAGAAUCUAAAAGUGGAGGGUAGGUAUUUGACCCAGGGGCUAUGCAGAAAUAAAU